This 219-nucleotide long non-coding RNA is filed under the name Homo sapiens (human). RNAcentral's name for it is "non-protein coding lnc-MDM2-1:1". Lineage: Eukaryota; Metazoa; Chordata; Mammalia; Primates; Hominidae. The record is from RNAcentral.
CAUCUCAGCAUUUGUUUUCCAGAGUAUGAUGGUAACAACUCCCAUGAGGAUGCGGGGAAUUACAUCAAGAGCCAGUUCCUUGACCUCAGUAUGCAACAAGAUAUCAAAAGAAUUUACAGUCACAUGACCUGUGCUACAGAUACACAGAAUAUCAAAUUUGUGUUUGAUGCAGCUACACAGAUAUUAUUAUCAAAGAAAACCUCAAGGACUGCGGCCUCU